UACGUAGGGUGCAAGCGUUAAUCGGAAUUACUGGGCGUAAAGCGUGCGCAGGCGGUGAUGUAAGACAGAUGUGAAAUCCCCGGGCUUAACCUGGGAAUGGCAUUUGGGACUGCAAGGCUCGAGUGCGGCAGAGGAGACUGGAAUUCCUGGUGUAGCAGUGAAAUGCGUAGAUAUCAGGAGGAACACCGAUGGCGAAGGCAGGUCUCUGGGCUGACACUGACGCUCAUGCACGAAAGCGUGGGGAGCAAACAGG
RNAcentral lists this ribosomal RNA (253 nucleotides) under uncultured bacterium. RNAcentral's name for it is "partial 16S ribosomal RNA". It matches the Rfam family "Bacterial small subunit ribosomal RNA", at positions 524 to 776 of the family's 1533-position model. The record is from RNAcentral.